RNAcentral lists this ribosomal RNA (492 nucleotides) under uncultured bacterium. RNAcentral describes it as "partial 16S ribosomal RNA". It matches the Rfam family "Bacterial small subunit ribosomal RNA", at positions 30 to 507 of the family's 1533-position model. The record is from RNAcentral.
AUUGAACGCUGGCGGCAUGCUUUACACAUGCAAGUCGAACGGUAACAGGCCUUCGGGUGCUGACGAGUGGCGAACGGGUGAGUAAUGCAUCGGAACGUGCCCAGAGGUGGGGGAUAACGCAGCGAAAGCUGUGCUAAUACCGCAUGUGAUCUGAGGAUGAAAGCGGGGGACCCAGCAGCAAUGUUUGGCCUCGCGCCUCUGGAGCGGCCGAUGUCAGAUUAGGUAGUUGGUGGGGUAAAGGCCUACCAAGCCGACGAUCUGUAGCUGGUCUGAGAGGACGACCAGCCACACUGGGACUGAGACACGGCCCAGACUCCUACGGGGGGCAGCAGUGGGGAAUUUUGGACAAUGGGCGCAAGCCUGAUCCAGCAAUGCCGCGUGCGGGAAGAAGGCCUUCGGGUUGUAAACCGCUUUUGUACGGAACGAAAAGGCUCUGGCUAAUACCUGGGGCUGAUGACGGUACCGUAAGAAUAAGCACCGGCUAACUACGUG